RNAcentral lists this ribosomal RNA (253 nucleotides) under uncultured bacterium. RNAcentral describes it as "partial 16S ribosomal RNA". It matches the Rfam family "Bacterial small subunit ribosomal RNA", at positions 524 to 776 of the family's 1533-position model. The record is from RNAcentral.
UACGAAGGGGGCGAGCGUUAUUCGGAAUCACUGGGCGUAAAGCGUGCGUAGGCGGUCUUGUAAGUUAGGAGUGAAAGCCCAGGGCUUAACCUUGGAAUUGCUCUUAAAACUGCAAGGCUAGAAUCUCGGAGAGGAUAGCGGAAUUUCCAGUGUAGCAGUGAAAUGCGUAGAUAUUGGAAGGAACACCAGUGGCGUAAGCGGCUAUCUGGACGAGUAUUGACGCUGAGGCACGAAAGCGUGGGGAUCAAACAGG